This is a long non-coding RNA of Myotis daubentonii (Daubenton's bat), 1766 nucleotides long. RefSeq lists it as uncharacterized. NCBI's taxonomy places the organism in Eukaryota, Metazoa, Chordata, Mammalia, Chiroptera, Vespertilionidae. The record is from RefSeq and is a predicted model, not a curated record.
CGUAAACAACUGGAACUGUCUGUAUCUUGUUUAGAAAGGCACUGUAUGCUGCAACAAGAACAAGGGAGAUGUCAGUAAAGAGACAAAUUCCUUCGUUGGAGGAAGGCCUUAGUCUUACUUCAAAUAACUUCAUGUUUUUGAAAUGAAGGAUAUAAGGACUCCUUACCUAAAAAGAUGAAAGCUGUUGAUGCCAGCACUACAAAGAGGGUAAAAAGGAUCUGGUAAGAACCCAUGAACUGGAGGACACCUGAAUCUUCACAUUGAUCUAUGCAUUGGCCAGAACAGAAGAAGAGAAUAGUUAUGUAAUAACAAACACAUCCAGGCCAGAUGUUGCAUUUAAAACCUUGUGUGGUCAUAAGACUAUCUAGCAGAAGCACUCGAAACCCAGCCCUUUAGGACAUCAAUUUUUAAAACAUGUAAUACCUGGUUGUUCAGUCAGCUGCACUGACCUCUUUCCCCUUAGAUUGUUAAAUUGAAAAAUGACAGCCGCCCUGGCCUGUGUGGCUCAGUUGUUUGGAGCCUUGUCCUGUAUACAGAAAGGUUGCAGGUUCAGUGUGUUUGGGGCACAUGUGGAAGGCAACCAAUUGAUCUCUCCCACAUCAAUGUUUCUCCCUACCCUUCUCAAAUCAAUACCCAUAUCCUUGGGGGUGAGGAUUUAAAACAGUGAUGGCGAACCUUUUAAGCUCAGUGUGUCAGCAUUUUGAAAAACCCUAACUUAAUUCUGGUGCCGUGUCACAUAUAGAAAUUUUUUGAUAUUUGCAACCAUAGUAAAACAAAGACUUAUAUUUUUCAUAUUUGAUAUAUUUAAAUGCCAUUUAACAAAGGAAAAUCAACCAAAAAAAUGAGAACACAUGUCAUAGGUUCGCCAUCACUGAUUUAAAAGAACUAACACAAUAGCUGUCCAGUGUGAAUACAUCAAAGCUAAACUUGUUUUUGGUAAGAUUAGCGAAAAUAUUUUUUUGGUGUGCCCAGAAUUUUAGAAAUUACUUGGUGCCAUGAGGUGAGAAAGGUUGGCUCCAUCUUACUGGCUUUUUCCUAUCUCCAAAGUAAUAAACUCCAACUCUUGAACCUCUUAUUUAUUAUUCUCAGCUUACAGAAAUAUUUAUUUAUUAUUUUAACAUAUUUUAUUGAUUUUCCACAGAGGAAGGGAGAGAGAGAGUCAGAAACAUCGAUGAGAGAGAAACCGACCAGCCGCCUCCUGCACACCCCCCACCGGGGAUAUGCCCGCAACUCAGGCACAUGCCCUUGACCGGAAUCGAACCCGGGACCUCUCAGUCCGCAGGCCGAUGCUCUAUUCACUGAGCCAAACCGGUUUUGGCAGCUUAGAGGAAUAUUUAAAACUUCUGCCACUUAAAAAUGGCUUUUACCUUCCCUGUGCAUUUUAACUAAAUUUGUUGCAAUCUAUGGUAAUUCGAUUUAUAUAAAAUUUUUAAUUGACUUGAGAGAGAGAGAGGGAGGGAGGAACAUCAAUUUGUUCCACUUAUUUAAGCAUUCAUUGGUUGAUUCUUAUAUGUUCCCUGACGGGAUCAAAACUGCAACCUUGACACAUCAGGGAUGCUCUAACCAACUGAGCUAUCUGGCCAGGGUGUGAUGUGAUUUGAUUUCUCAUUCUAAUCCCUGUGACGUGAAACAUUUCUUUGGAUCCCCAAUGACUUCGUAAAUCCAAGGGCCUCACCCAUUUUUACUCAGGAUGUCAUUUCUAGGGAAUAUUCUGAUUUGUAUAUCAUGUCCUUAAUAAAACUUUCGACUCCUGUCUUUGAAUCAUA